CCACAUUCGCUUCCGCAGCAUGACACCGACCAUAUCCAGUUGUAAUUAAUCGUCUAGUGAAGGCAACAUCUUUCUCUUUCAUUUGUGGUUCACAAAGGCUCAAGACUUUCUACAAGUUAACUCACCAAGCUUGUGUCUCUUGACAUCCAAACGUUGGAUAGAGAACAGUUGAAGUUGAAAUAUGAGUUUUUUCUUCCUCAGCUUCAUGAAUGUAAAUGACGGGAAGGUUCUCAGGACGGGG
Molecule: long non-coding RNA, 241 nt
Filed under: Elaeis guineensis (African oil palm)
Lineage: Eukaryota; Viridiplantae; Streptophyta; Magnoliopsida; Arecales; Arecaceae
Description: long non-coding RNA (EGUI_LNC022389)
Source: RNAcentral